AAUCAACGCUGGCGGCGCGCUUAACACAUGCAAGUCGAACGAGAAAGCCGGAGCAAUCUGGUGAGUAAAGUGGCGUACGGGUGAGUAACACGUGGGUUACCUGCCCUCUGGUGGGGAAUAACCCUGGGAAACCGGGGCUAAUACCGCAUAUGUCCGCGAGGACAAAGCCGAAAGGCGCCGGAGGAGGGGCCCGCGGCCGAUUAGCUAGUUGGUAGGGUAACGGCCUACCAAGGCUAUGAUCGGUAGCCGGCCUGAGAGGGCACACGGCCACACUGGCACUGAAACACGGGCCAGACUCCUACGGGAGGCAG
This 311-nucleotide ribosomal RNA is filed under the name uncultured Acidobacteriota bacterium. RNAcentral describes it as "bacterial SSU rRNA". It matches the Rfam family "Bacterial small subunit ribosomal RNA", at positions 29 to 351 of the family's 1533-position model. Lineage: Bacteria; Pseudomonadati; Acidobacteriota. The record is from RNAcentral.